GUGUAUUUGUACUACAACCUGCUACGCGCAUCCACAGAUGGUGACUGCUGAUGUGUCAAUCGUUUGUAUACUUGUGAAAGUCGUGUAUAUAAAGUGCUUAAAAGAUGGAAAUGGAAGAAAGUGCAUUUAUUAACGAAAAAAGGGACGAAGAAAUAGCGAAAGAAAAUAAAAAAACAAAAGAGAAAAAGGAAUAAAAAUCGGAAAUAUCAAUUUGCAUGGCGUCAGCGUAGAAGAAAUUAAAAAAAAAAAGAUUCGAAGGAAGAAAAAGGAGAAGAAAAAAGAAAAAGACAUCGUGAAAAUCAAAGAGCAUAUUAUUUAUGUAAUAUAAAUUGUCAUGUUUGUCUACGAUAGCGCAAUAAAUGAAUAUUGUAUUUUACCACAUAAAUGAUAGUACUUUUAUACUGAUAAAUAAAACAAUUCGUGCGAAAUUAUUCCUUAACCAUUCCAACCUAUUCAAAAAUGCACAACGUUGAUGUUUAAGUUUUCACUUCUGCCGGCACUCCCGGAGUGCAACCCGUCCUUUUUUUUUUGUUUUUGUAUCACCGCUAUUGUGAAAUAUAAGAUUUUAUUUUA
This is a long non-coding RNA of Neodiprion virginianus, 573 nucleotides long. RefSeq lists it as uncharacterized. The record is from RefSeq and is a predicted model, not a curated record. NCBI's taxonomy places the organism in Eukaryota, Metazoa, Arthropoda, Insecta, Hymenoptera, Diprionidae. The transcript is spliced from 2 exons.